RNAcentral lists this long non-coding RNA (1041 nucleotides) under Bos mutus (wild yak). RNAcentral describes it as "lncRNA (ENSBMUG00000022637.1)". Lineage: Eukaryota; Metazoa; Chordata; Mammalia; Artiodactyla; Bovidae. The record is from RNAcentral.
GUCGGCUCUUCUAUGAGGGGUAGUCACAGCCCACUUGCGGCACCUCCGUGGCGGCCUCCACCUUCAUCGCGGUGCUGUAGGGUCUUGCAUUAGCUUCCGGAUCUUGAGAGGGCCCAAAGCCGUGAAACAUCAGGGACCAGGGCUGCGAAUACCCUUGGGACCUUUGUCCAAGACACAGGCUCUUCCCUUUCAGGAGUCUUAUGGCCUCUAGCCUGCUUUUAAACCGUUCUUUUUACCCCUGUUAUCCCCUCCUCCCGAUUCUCUUAACUCAGUACCUCUCUGGCCUUAAGGAGAGGAAAUACGCAAGAUGAGGUACGCAAACGAGUGUUGGGUAACCAGGUAUGUGAAUGAGCAGGGGCUGAGAACCCAAUUAAUUAUACCACAAAGCCUCCUGAAGGCACACAUGGUCUUUGGUUCCGUAAUUACUUCACUGCUGUCAGGCAGUGGGCCGAAAGAGUUUCUUCGGAGCUCUCCAAAACCUCACCGUCUCACCUUUACUUGGCAAAGGGACUUUGUAUCAGAAAACUGUUUUUGGAUUAUAGAGCUAGGAGCCCUCAAGCGAUUGAGGCAGUCCCACAGCAGUCAGGAGAUGAGAAAACUGAGGUCAGAAAGGUAAACUGAGAAGCCUGUUUUGGAAGAGAAGUGCAAGUAUGUGAUAUCCAGAAUGCUCACCAGCAAACACCCUGGGGAUUUGUGCUCACCAGGAACCACCGACAGCUCUGGAGGUCCUUCAGCAAAGGUAUGUUGAGGACUUUCCCGGUGGUCCAGUGGUUGGGAGUCCGCCUGCCAGUGCAGGGGACACGUGUUUGAUCCCUGGUUCAGGGGAACUCCUCAUGCCGUCGGGCCCAAGUGCUGCAACUACCGAGCCCGCAAGCUGCAACUAUUGCAGUCUGUGUGCCCUAGACCUCACAUGCCACAAGAGAAGCCGCAGCAACGAGAAGCCCACACACCACAGCUAGAGAAAGCCCACAUGCAGUAACAAAAACCCAGCACAGAAAAAUAACCAAUAAAUAUUUUUUAAAAAAGAUUUAUUGAGUACUU